UGCCCCCUGGCCCAGCUGGUUAAGGCGCACGACUGUUAAAUCCCGUGAUCUAUUUAGGGUCACGUGAUCAAAUCGUGAGAUCGUGAGUUCGAGCCUCACGGGGGCAG
Molecule: non-coding RNA, 107 nt
Organism: Mycena haematopus
Lineage: Eukaryota; Fungi; Basidiomycota; Agaricomycetes; Agaricales; Mycenaceae
Source: the annotation of a GenBank genome assembly